Molecule: small RNA, 166 nt
Filed under: Eubacterium sp. CAG:156
Lineage: Bacteria; Bacillati; Bacillota; Clostridia; Eubacteriales; Eubacteriaceae
Description: Clostridiales-1 RNA
Rfam family: Clostridiales-1 RNA
Source: Rfam by way of RNAcentral
UAAUGCCUGAGUCAAAAGGGCUAACCCCACAUGAACUUGCUCAUAAGUGGGUGAAAGACCUUAGGACCCGCGCCAAUAUGAGCAAAAAGCGGGAAGACUAUCCCACGAUAUGCGAAUAUUGGGUAGAAUCAAAGUUGGGGUGCCCCUGAAAUUAUAUAAAGUACUA